UGGGGAAUAUUGCACAAUGGGCGCAAGCCUGAUGCAGCCAUACCGCGUGUAUGAAGAAGGCCUUCGGGUUGUAAAGUACUUUCAGCGAGGAGGAAGGCGGUAAGGUUAAUAACCUUAUCGAUUGACGUUACUCGCAGAAGAAGCACCGGCUAACUCCGUGCCAGCAGCCGCGGUAAUACGGAGGGUGCAAGCGUUAAUCGGAAUUACUGGGCGUAAAGCGCACGCAGGCGGUCUGUCAAGUCGGAUGUGAAAUCCCCGGGCUCAACCUGGGAACUGCAUUCGAAACUGGCAGGCUAGAGUCUUGUAGAGGGGGGUAGAAUUCCAGGUGUAGCGGUGAAAUGCGUAGAGAUCUGGAGGAAUACCGGUGGCGAAGGCGGCCCCCUGGACAAAGACUGACGCUCAGGUGCGAAAGCGUGGGGAGCAAACA
This 427-nucleotide ribosomal RNA is filed under the name uncultured bacterium. RNAcentral describes it as "partial 16S ribosomal RNA". It matches the Rfam family "Bacterial small subunit ribosomal RNA", at positions 355 to 774 of the family's 1533-position model. The record is from RNAcentral.